This 98-nucleotide microRNA precursor is filed under the name Felis catus (domestic cat). RNAcentral describes it as "mir-544 microRNA precursor family". It matches the Rfam family "mir-544 microRNA precursor family". RNAcentral also lists the same sequence under 2 other names. The record is from Rfam by way of RNAcentral. Lineage: Eukaryota; Metazoa; Chordata; Mammalia; Carnivora; Felidae.
AUCACCUGGGGGUUCUGUUAAAAUGCAGAUUCUGAUUCAGUGGGUUUGGGAUGGGACUUGAGAUUCUGCCUUUAUAACAGGCUCCCAGGUGAUGCUGA